UAGGGAAUCUUCGGCAAUGGACGGAAGUCUGACCGAGCAACGCCGCGUGAGUGAAGAAGGUUUUCGGAUCGUAAAGCUCUGUUGUAAGAGAAGAACGAGUGUGAGAGUGGAAAGUUCACACUGUGACGGUAUCUUACCAGAAAGGGACGGCUAACUACGUGCCAGCAGCCGCGGUAAUACGUAGGUCCCGAGCGUUGUCCGGAUUUAUUGGGCGUAAAGCGAGCGCAGGCGGUUAGAUAAGUCUGAAGUUAAAGGCUGUGGCUUAACCAUAGUAGGCUUUGGAAACUGUUUAACUUGGGUGCAAGAGGGGAGAGUGGAAUUCCAUGUGUAGCGGUGAAAUGCGUAGAUAUAUGGAGGAACACCGGUGGCGAAAGCGGCUCUCUGGCUUGUAACUGACGCUGAGGCUCGAAAGCGUGGGGAGCAAACAGGAUUAGAUACCCUGGUAGUCCACGCUGUAAACGAUGAGUGCUAGGCGUUAGACCCUUUCCGGGGUUUAGUGCCGUAGCUAACGCAUUAAGCACUCCGCCUGGGGAGUACGACCGCAAGGUUG
This 550-nucleotide ribosomal RNA is filed under the name uncultured bacterium. RNAcentral describes it as "bacterial SSU rRNA". It matches the Rfam family "Bacterial small subunit ribosomal RNA", at positions 355 to 896 of the family's 1533-position model. The record is from RNAcentral.